Non-coding RNA from Talaromyces proteolyticus, 83 nucleotides. The record is from the annotation of a RefSeq genome assembly. Lineage: Eukaryota; Fungi; Ascomycota; Eurotiomycetes; Eurotiales; Trichocomaceae.
GGCCGUGUAGCCCAGUGGUAAGGCGCUGGCCUCCUAUUUAUAUAUACAGCCAGAGAUCCAGGGUUCGAUCCCCUGCAUGGUCG